Molecule: ribosomal RNA, 253 nt
Filed under: uncultured bacterium
Lineage: Bacteria
Description: partial 16S ribosomal RNA
Rfam family: Bacterial small subunit ribosomal RNA
Source: RNAcentral
UACGUAGGGCGCGAGCGUUGUCCGGAAUUAUUGGGCGUAAAGCGCGCGUAGGCGGCUCGAUAAGUCUGCUGUGAAAGUCCAGGGCUCAACCCUGGAAUGCCGGUGGAUACUGUCGAGCUCGAGUCCGGAAGAGGCGAGUGGAAUUCCUGGUGUAGCGGUGAAAUGCGCAGAUAUCAGGAGGAACACCAAUGGCGAAGGCAGCUCGCUGGGACGUGACUGACGCUGAGACGCGAAAGCGUGGGGAGCAAACAGG